ACAAAGGCUCUUUUCAGAGCCACCCACCAUUUCCGUUAAAUGAGCU
Non-coding RNA from Otolemur garnettii (small-eared galago), 46 nucleotides. The record is from Rfam. NCBI's taxonomy places the organism in Eukaryota, Metazoa, Chordata, Mammalia, Primates, Galagidae.